This 561-nucleotide ribosomal RNA is filed under the name uncultured Eubacteriales bacterium. RNAcentral describes it as "bacterial SSU rRNA". It matches the Rfam family "Bacterial small subunit ribosomal RNA", at positions 1 to 578 of the family's 1533-position model. The record is from RNAcentral. Lineage: Bacteria; Bacillati; Bacillota; Clostridia; Eubacteriales.
UAGAGUUUGAUCCUGGCUCAGGACGAACGCUGGCGGCGUGCCUAACACAUGCAAGUCGAGCGGGGAUAGAGCCUUCGGGUGUCUAUUCUAGCGGCGGACGGGUGAGUAACGCGUGAACAAUCUGUCCUUUAGUGGGGGAUAACACAAUGAAAGUUGUGCUAAUACCGCAUGAGACCACAGUUCCGCAUGGAACAGGGGUCAAAGGAGCAAUUUGCUGAAGGGUGAGUUCGCGUCCCAUUAGCUAGUUGGUGAGGUAACGGCUCACCAAGGCGACGAUGGGUAGCCGACCUGAGAGGGUGAUCGGCCACACUGGAACUGAGAAACGGUCCAGACUCCUACGGGAGGCAGCAGUGGGGAAUAUUGGGCAAUGGGGGAAACCCUGACCCAGCAACGCCGCGUGAGGGAAGAAGGCUUUCGGGUCGUAAACCUCUGUCCUAUGUGAAGAGCAGAAGACGGUAGCAUAGGAGGAAGCCCCGGCUAACUACGUGCCAGCAGCCGCGGUAAUACGUAGGGGGCGAGCGUUGUCCGGCAAUGAUUGGGCGUAACAGGGCGCGUAGGCGG